This is a long non-coding RNA of Grammomys surdaster, 1391 nucleotides long. RefSeq lists it as uncharacterized. The record is from RefSeq and is a predicted model, not a curated record. Lineage: Eukaryota; Metazoa; Chordata; Mammalia; Rodentia; Muridae. The transcript is spliced from 3 exons.
GGGGCCUGCAUGCACCGAGGCCAGUGAUUCUCAACCUGUGGUUCUUUCGCGGUCAUAUAUCAGAUAUCCUGUAUAUCAGGCAUAAAGAACUCCUAUGUGGCCAGGGAAGUGAGUUGCAGAGGAGAUGUCAGCGUUUUGAAAGUUGUUUCUGAAACUGCACCAGGGAGUUGGUGGAACUAAUAAUAUAUCCACCUCAUGAGAGAUGAACUUUGUUUUCUCAGUAGAGAAUUGUUCUCUGCUUCAGAAAACAUGUCUUGCAGAACAGUGCGGACCUGCGUAGCAACUCUUACUGUGGUUUUCUGGAGAUUUCACACAGCACUUUUAUCCAUCACAAAUCCCAAGCCUUCAGAUCUGUUGGGGCAAAAGGUUGGGUACUAGGGCAACUUGCAAGACAUCCCUUCUGGCAACAUAGACAAGUGGCGAAUAUUAUAGUUUUUCAUUCUACUAUCUUAACCAUGUCUGGCAUAGCUCAUUAUCAGGCCCAGGAAGCACAAAGGCUUUGUGUUAGAAUUUACUCCAUCCUUGCCAAAACAUUGAAUGGUGAAUCAGCUGACAUCAUCUGCUUCCCCUGUCCAGCCUUACACCUGUAUUUAUUUUUCUGACUUCAGACUUUCAACACUUAUCCUUACAUAUAUUCCGCUUGUUCCUAUUGGCACAUAUUAGCCCAUUUUUUGCAGUAUCUUAGCAUAGUUUGGUGAUUCUCAACCUCAGAUGAUUUUCAGUCCUUGAGGGAUAUUUGACAAUGGUUUGAGACAUUUUUGCUUGUCAUUACUGAAAGAGAUCUGCUGACAUCUAGUGGAUACAAGCGAGAGUUUGUGUUAAAUGAUCUAUAACACUAAAGAUAGAGCCCUUCACAGUAAAGAACUAUUCAUCCCCAAAUGUCCCAGUUGCCAGAAGGGAGGAACCUUUGCUGUAGCUUUCUCUAGAGCAGAGGUUGCAGUUUCUCACAAAGGCUGUGCUGGGUAGCUUGGUUAUGGAGUUGAAGCAAUGAGGAAGAAAUGUGCUAGAAACAGGAAGUGAAGGAAACAGUUAUACUCUGAAGCAACUUUCUUUGCAACAUUUCAAGACAUGGGGAGACUGCUCUUCAUUGUCAAAAGGAAAGACACAUUGAAGUGGAGAAAACUCUGAGUGUUUAAGACUGUGAAAUCUGAAAGGAAAAGUAUUGGCUCAGGAUCCCAAGACCAAGUUCUCAGCACAAAGCAGAUUUAUUUGUCCCAGAGGGACAGAGGACAGGGAAUAAGAGACAAACACAGGAGAUAAAGGACACAGGAGAAAAGGAAGGGACACAGGAGACUGAGGAGGAGUAUUUGUCUUAGAAUGGAGAGGAGGCAGAAGUGGCACAUAGGAACAUAGCAGGUUCUAAAGGUAAAGGGGGAAGUCUCGUGUUAGGA